AUGAGCAUAUUUCGAAAUCCUGUCAACAACCACCCAGAUGACUGACUUCCCUUUGCAAGGAGGCAAUCCAACAAUAAAGUCCAUAGAAAUAUCUGCUCAUGUUUGAGAUGGAAUAGGUAAAGGUUGUAAAAAACCUGGAGGCGACAAGGUCUCAUAUUUGUUCCUUGGACAAAUUGAGCAAGCUGCAACUCUUUCCUUAAUAUCCUUUUUCAUUCCUUCCCAAUAAAACGAUCGAGUGAUCCUCUUAUAUGUCUUUAAAAACCCCUCAUGUCCUGCAGUUGGGCUUGAGUGGUGUUCAUUGAAAAUUUGAUCUCUCCAAGAGCUAGUGGGGCUUAGUACAAUCCCCCCUUAUACUUCAAGAUACCAUUGUCAAACUGAAAUUUAUAAUUUGCAAUAGGAAUUGCAUCAUUGUCCACUGAACAGACCAAUUGUUUCUUAGAAAUCACCCAAGGAUCUCCCUCACUAUGCCUGUGAAGAUCAUCUAUCCAUGUAGAGUAUGGAUAUGAAAUUGCAGUCAAUUGAACUUCUUCUAACAACUGUAGGGGUGAAGAAGGGUUAAGCUUCUCACAUUAAGAGUUGUAGGUUUAUUCUCAUGCAUAACAUUGGAAUUCAAUGUUUGUAAAGGUGAACGAAAAGUGGACUGAACUGCAGAAUUCUUAGGGAAAGAUUUCACCUUUAAGUCGGCUAAUUUGGUAUCCAGCUGCUGUGUAAUGGUCGAAGCUUC
RNAcentral lists this small RNA (724 nucleotides) under Malus domestica (apple). RNAcentral describes it as "sRNA MD02G0260500". The record is from RNAcentral. Lineage: Eukaryota; Viridiplantae; Streptophyta; Magnoliopsida; Rosales; Rosaceae.